Molecule: non-coding RNA, 28 nt
Filed under: Mus musculus (house mouse)
Lineage: Eukaryota; Metazoa; Chordata; Mammalia; Rodentia; Muridae
Source: RNAcentral
UGCUUCAAGUUCUAGCUCAAAUGGUACC